UACAGAGGUGGCAAGCGUUGUUCGGAAUUACUGGGCGUAAAGGGCGCGUAGGCGGCUUGGUCAGUCCCGUGUGAAAUCCCUCGGCUCAACUGAGGAACUGCACGGGAAACUGCCUGGCUUGAGUUCGGGAGAGGGAAGCGGAAUUCCGGGUGUAGCGGUGAAAUGCGUAGAUAUCUGGAGGAACACCGGUGGCGAAGGCGGCAUCCUGGACCAACAUUGACGCUGAGGAGCGAAAGCCAGGGGAGCAAACGGG
This 253-nucleotide ribosomal RNA is filed under the name uncultured bacterium. RNAcentral's name for it is "partial 16S ribosomal RNA". It matches the Rfam family "Bacterial small subunit ribosomal RNA", at positions 524 to 776 of the family's 1533-position model. The record is from RNAcentral.